Zea mays is the source of this 161-nucleotide non-coding RNA. Lineage: Eukaryota; Viridiplantae; Streptophyta; Magnoliopsida; Poales; Poaceae. The record is from Rfam.
AUACUUACCUGGACGGGACUAACAGGCGAUCAAGAAGGCCGGUUGUCUAGGUCAGUGGCCCUCAUUGCACUCUGAGGGCGCGUUGGCUUACUAUCUCCCUAACUGGGAGAGUGGACGUCGUAAUUUGUGGGAGAUGGGGUACGCGUUCGCGCGACCCCUGC